Molecule: ribosomal RNA, 252 nt
Filed under: uncultured bacterium
Lineage: Bacteria
Description: partial 16S ribosomal RNA
Rfam family: Bacterial small subunit ribosomal RNA
Source: RNAcentral
UACGUAGGGUGCAAGCGUUGUCCGGAAUUAUUGGGCGUAAAGAGCUCGUAGGCGGUUUGUUGCGUCGGCUGUGAAAUCCCGAGGCUCAACCUCGGGUCUGCAGUCGAUACGAGCAACUAGAGUGUUGCAGGGGAGACUGGAAUUCCUGGUGUAGCGGUGAAAUGCGCAGAUAUCAGGAGGAACACCUGCGGUGUAGACGGCUUUCUGGACCAUUGCUGACGCUGAGACACGAAAGCGUGGGUAGCAAACAGG